This 256-nucleotide ribosomal RNA is filed under the name uncultured bacterium. RNAcentral's name for it is "partial 16S ribosomal RNA". It matches the Rfam family "Bacterial small subunit ribosomal RNA", at positions 524 to 776 of the family's 1533-position model. The record is from RNAcentral.
UACGUAGGGUGCAGGCGUUAAUCGGAAUUACUGGGCGUAAAGCGUGCGUAGGCGGUUUGUUAAGACAGGUGUGAAAUCCCCGGGCUUAACCUGGGAACUGCGCUUGUUACUGGCAGACUGGAGUGUGGCAGAGGGGGGGUGGAAUUCCAGGUGUAGCAGUGAAAUGCGUAGAUAUCUGGAGGAACACCGAUGGGCGAAGGCAGCCCCCCUGGGCUAACACUGACGCUGAUGCACGAAAGCGUGGGGAGCAAACAGG